This 877-nucleotide long non-coding RNA is filed under the name Homo sapiens (human). RNAcentral's name for it is "HSALNT0341518". Lineage: Eukaryota; Metazoa; Chordata; Mammalia; Primates; Hominidae. The record is from RNAcentral.
GGACCCAGAGGCUUGCUGAGGGGCAGGGCAGAGGGCCGAGGGGGAGGGCGUUUGGGGUGGGCAGAGCUGCUCCGGAAGGGGGCCUGAGGCUUCCUCCCAAGCCGCAGCCUUCCCCGCCUUGCUACCUGGCUCUGCCACAUGCUAGCUGUUACCUAAUUUCUCUGCAAGCCAAUCUCCUACCUGUAACGUGGGGCUAGUGACACUUUCCACCUGUGCUGGCCACAGAGCGAGUGCUCAGUGACAGUCCUUAUCACCAGCAUUUUGCAGAGCCGAAGUUGACUGCCCCGUGGACCCAAGCCUGGAACUGCCUUUCUCCCGUCCCUUCCCCCACAUUGAAUGUGACUGCUCCUCCCCUCUCUCCUGGAACUCACAGCCCCAAGCCUGCCUCGAACACCUGUGUGCCACAUCCUUCAGGGAGCACCCCUGCCCGGCUUCACGUGAACACAGAAAUGGCCAAAUGUCCUCCAGGAGAGGAAAAGGGCCCACGGAUAAGAGGAGGAGCCGCUGGCCGCCGGCGAAAAAUACCGGGCUUCUGCAAGAGACCAGGAAGUACUGGCCACUUCUUCAACCCUCUUUAGCAGAGGUGAGGGGCAGUGCCCAUCCAGAGUGGAGCCCUCCCUCGCCAAAGCCUUAGGUGGGUGUGUCCCUGGGCCCAGCCCAGAGUCUGGCACCAACGGGCCUUGCCAAGUAGCUGCUGAGUGAAUGGGCACAUGACGCCACCCUCAGAAAGGAAAGCAAGAUCCGGCGCACCCCCUCAGGGCGAGCAAAACCCCAUGGGCUCCGCAGAGGAAGCAGGCCUAGAAUGCCCCCCACCCACCCCCAGACAAGCCUGACUCACUCUUUAACUUGGAACGAACUUUGUUUGCUGUCUUCUUUA